GUUUGAAUUAGUUUCAUUUUGAUUUCUCUUGUAGAUUAAUUUGACCUGGAGAAUAUCAUUUGGUGACGACUAAUUAGAUUACUUGUUGGUGUAUUAUUGUUGGCUUUGUACUGCCUUAUCAAACUUCCUACUUGCUUAUUUUUUGAGUUCUGAAGAGUUUCUUUCUUCACCUUGUUAUUCGGUUCGCAUAUGAUGCAUGUAGUUG
RNAcentral lists this unclassified non-coding RNA (205 nucleotides) under Hevea brasiliensis (rubber tree). Lineage: Eukaryota; Viridiplantae; Streptophyta; Magnoliopsida; Malpighiales; Euphorbiaceae. The record is from RNAcentral.